This 720-nucleotide ribosomal RNA is filed under the name Triticum aestivum (bread wheat). RNAcentral describes it as "partial small subunit ribosomal RNA". Lineage: Eukaryota; Viridiplantae; Streptophyta; Magnoliopsida; Poales; Poaceae. The record is from RNAcentral.
AUGGGUAGAAAGCACUACACAAAUCAGAAUGUUCUUGUUGUGGUUGGCUUCAAUCUAACAUUCACCUAUGUGCUAGCUAGGUGGGAAGGAUCAUCCCAUGAUGCUAACAUCCUAACUGACAGCAUCAAUGGAUCUGAUGGCGUCAAUAUCCCUGAUGGCAAGUUCUACCUAGGAGAUGUUGGUUAUGCAUGUCGGUCUGGUGUUCUUUCACACUUCAGGAAAACUGGGUACCAUCUGAAAGAGUUCUCUUUCAAGAACUGUCCUAGGACUCCACAUGAACUAUUAAUCUCAUAUACACUACUCUAUCUAGCCUUCGAGGGACGGGAGGGCAUUUGGAGCUUUGAAAAUAGGUUUAAUAUCCUAGAUCAGAAGCCAUUCCACCCUUACCCUACCCAGGUUAAGCUUGUUCUUGCAUGUUACAUCCUUCAUAACUAGAUCCUACAAUGGGGUUGUGAUGAACUUGUCCCGGAGGAGGAAGAUGUGAUGCCUGAUGAUGUUGUCAGUUACGGCCAUGAUGUGAAUGCAUUUGACAACAAAGUCUGGAAGAAGAAGAAGAAGAAGAAGAAGAAGAAGAAGAAGAAGAAGAAGAAGAAGAAGAAGAAGAAGAAGAAGAAGAAGAAGAAGAAGAAGAAGAAGAAGAAGAAGAAGAAGAAGAAGAAGAAGAAGAAGAAGAAGAAGAAGAAGAAGAAGAAGAAGAAGAAGCAGUCAUUUGUUUCGUAG